Non-coding RNA from Xyrichtys novacula (pearly razorfish), 1263 nucleotides. NCBI's taxonomy places the organism in Eukaryota, Metazoa, Chordata, Actinopteri, Labriformes, Labridae. The record is from the annotation of a GenBank genome assembly.
GGACUUGAAAUUCUGGUAAAUUAUACAGAAAAAGAGGAUUGAAACUGGUCAUGCGCUUAAACAUGAGGAUGGAAAAAAAAGGGUUCUUAGCCUCGCACUAUGGAGCACAUGCAGAUGUUCUUAUGCAUUGUAUCGGCGAUAUAGUCUUCCCCCUCCCCCAGGGGAUUGCUGGGAAAGUUCACUUGCCCGGGAGCACACACCUCAGCCCUGUUAGAAAGGGUAGCACAGGGAUGUUGUCUGCCCUAGACAAGCGGGGACACAGAGGAAGCUGUCUCCACUCUCGUCUCAUUGUUCUGGAGGCGUUAAUCUGUCAGGGAUCUGCUGGGAAUCAGGUGGGAAUCUACUCGGCCCUGUUGAAUGUUUAUUGGCUGGUCCGUUGCAGAAAAGAGAACAUUUGGACGUCUUCACCCUGUACCCCUCUGCUGCACCAUCCUGCCCCCGCCUCUUGAAGAUGCUCUGAUGAUAAAACUAUUUCUUGUUUGUCUCCGCUGCUUCGUUUGGAGAUGAGCACAUCCGUUUUGUCUUCUCGUCUCGCCCUUUUUCUCCUGAAGCCGCAGUCCAAGACAAAUCUUAAAUAUGCUUUUAGUCAUGCUAACAUGAGGAUGUUUGGAAACUUUUCACCACCAGUUGUGGUGACCUCGGGGUUUGCUCGCUGCCAGAGGUCAGCCAACAAUAAAACGGAAGCAACAAGUAAAAUAAUCAAAGUCUUUUUCCUGAGAACAUCCAUAGAGUUGUAUUUUCACUCAGGGGACUCAGAGGAUACAGCGAUACAAAUGUGUGAUAUCAUGGACAUUGUUUAAGGCUUCAAAUCUUUGGCAUCGGGGCCCUGGCAAAGAGAGAAAAUGGCCACAGUUUUAAAGAUAAUACAAUUCAGUUUAAACAAUAUAUCAGGUUGACAACAAACAUGUAAAACUUAACCAAGGGAACAGUUUUGUCAAAGUCUGAGCUGCCUUUUUUCAUGCUUUAACUCUUCAUGUUUCUUUUGGUCUUGAAUCUUAUUGAAUUUUACUUUUCAGGACACGCCGGCUGAAGAUAUGAGUCUGCUUGCUUAGCCGCAAUACUUUCUGACUAUGCUUAACUUUUCAUUAUUGUAAAUGUCUUAAUAUGGGUUCAGAGAUGCUAGCAACUUUCAGGAUUAAAUACUGAACCCAGUUAGCUGCCUACAUUCAACCCUUAUUGCCAGUUAAAGCUUAGCUGCUUUAAUCUGUGGCUUUAUAGUUACUGAGACAUAAGAGUCGUAUUGAAGAGGAAAGCCAAUCAGCA